UCCUCUGUAGUUCAGUCGGUAGAACGGCGGACUGUUAAUCCGUAUGUCACUGGUUCGAGUCC
This 62-nucleotide transfer RNA is filed under the name Escherichia coli 96.0939. Its description in RNAcentral is "partial tRNA-OTHER". It matches the Rfam family "tRNA", at positions 1 to 60 of the family's 71-position model. From Rfam's summary of the family: Transfer RNA (tRNA) molecules are approximately 80 nucleotides in length. Their secondary structure includes four short double-helical elements and three loops (D, anti-codon, and T loops). Lineage: Bacteria; Pseudomonadati; Pseudomonadota; Gammaproteobacteria; Enterobacterales; Enterobacteriaceae. The record is from RNAcentral.